GAUGAACGCUAGCGGCAGGCUUAAUACAUGCAAGUCGAGGGGCAGCGCGGGUAGCAAUACCUGGCGGCGACCGGCAAACGGGUGCGGAACACGUACGCAACCUUCCCAUAACUGGUGAAUAGCCCUCCGAAAGGAGGAUUAAUACACCGUAACAUAACGAAGAGGCAUCUUUUUGUUAUUAUAGUAGCAAUACGGUUUUGGAUGGGCGUGCGCCUGAUUAGGUAGUUGGCGGGGUAACGGCCCACCAAGCCUGCGAUCAGUAACUGGUGUGAGAGAACGACCAGUCACACGGGAACUGGGACACGGGCCCGACUCCUACGGGAGGCAGCAGUAAGGAAUAUUGGUCAAUGGACGAAAGUCUGAACCAGCCAUGCCGCGUGAAGGAUUAAGGCCCUCUGGGUUGUAAACUUCUUUUAUCUGGGACGAAAAAAGGGCAUUCUUGCUCACUUGACGGUACCAGAGGAAUAAGCACCGGCUAACUCCGUGCCAGCCGCCGCAGUAA
RNAcentral lists this ribosomal RNA (502 nucleotides) under uncultured bacterium. RNAcentral's name for it is "partial 16S ribosomal RNA". It matches the Rfam family "Bacterial small subunit ribosomal RNA", at positions 28 to 523 of the family's 1533-position model. The record is from RNAcentral.